AAGACUUGUUUCUCCCCCAGGGUAGAGCUUUUGUGACAUCACACUAGAGCUGGAGGUAGAGAUAGUGACCUAGUUCUCAUGGAGUAGCACUGUUUGAGGAGGGCUCACUGGGAACAUGAUACGGUGGUCCCUAGUUUUCCUGGUUUGCCUUCCUCAAAGUAAAAUCUCUGCCUUAUGAAUGAGCUGAACAGGAUCAACUGGGACCCUGCUUUGGAUCAGCAUGACAUGCCUGGGGGGAGUUUCUAAUUUAUGAAUGAGGCUCCUUGGGGAAGAGAGACCUGAUCUCUCUGCUGCUCUUGCCUGGAAUAAAGCUCCUACAACAAGGGACUGAGAGAUGAGAAAAACCUGACAGCAUGCUCUUCACAAGUUGGAAAUGUAGUCCUACACUGAUGCUAUGAGGAAAGGGAGCCUCCAUCUUCAUCACUGUACUUACCAGAAUGAGAGCUCCUGGAACAUUUUCAUAAGAAGUGAUGUGGGGGAAGAAAAAGGACAGGAGUUCUAGUUUUGAAUGGUCACACACCAACUCUGAUCUGCUCAUCUAGAUUAAGAAUGAUCAAAUAGAUCUAUCUAUCAGAAAUUUUAUAAAUUUCUGACAUGAAGAAACAACUGGAAGGGAGUGCAGGAUGCCAAGAAGUAUGGAAAUAAUUUUCUCUUGCACUUUCUUUGUAUCAAGGACUGUCCCAGUUAUAUGACCCCUAUAAUAAAGGUGAAAAUAAAUGUUUCCAGAAGAAAAAUGAGUCCAGUGGGAAUGUGUCAAACGUUUUAAUCAACAGCCUAAAUCUUUGGAGGAGAAAUGAUAAGUUCUUCUCAGGAGCAAGGGUGUAUUGUGAAGAGCAAAGGAAGAUGAAAACGGAGAGGAGAGAAAUUAAAAUGAGAGGAUUUACUUUGGUUUUUG
This 895-nucleotide long non-coding RNA is filed under the name Vulpes vulpes (red fox). RNAcentral describes it as "lncRNA (ENSVVUG00000014384.1)". Lineage: Eukaryota; Metazoa; Chordata; Mammalia; Carnivora; Canidae. The record is from RNAcentral.